Sus scrofa (pig) is the source of this 7210-nucleotide non-coding RNA. Lineage: Eukaryota; Metazoa; Chordata; Mammalia; Artiodactyla; Suidae. The record is from RefSeq and is a predicted model, not a curated record.
AGGACCACGGACCUUUCAACUGGGCCUGCAAGGGUCCACAGGUGACCACGUGAAGGUGGGAAGGCAUGCAGCCAGUUACGCCUGCGCGGAAGGACCUUACGCACCUUUUCCCACUCAGCUUUCCCCGCCCUCCGCGUGCGCCCACGCCCCCGACGUGGCCCAUCCGACGCAUGGUUCUGAUCCUUUAAAUCCCCGCCCCCCUGCCUAGAGGUGGACUUGGGUUUCGUCAUCGUUCUGUUGUCUGGCUUCCCAGUGAGAAAACCCUUCUCGUUUCAAACUUCGGCAUUUCUGCUUCCUGUGUGUCUGCAAAACAGACUUGGUUUGUAGGUACCAGGUUCAGGAGAAAAAGCAACAGAGUAGUGGCCUUGACCCAAGGAAGAACCGGGCUCCAGGGGGACUCAGUAACAGGUCACCUUGUGACAGACUGGCCCAUAGCUGGCUGUUCACGUGAUUGCAGUGUUCUCCACGAGUCUCUAAGCCACAGCUGUGCUACCUUGUCCAGUUACCAGUCUUGAGCCUCUGGCCGCCUGGACAGCUGGCACAAAGGUGGUAUGUUUCUUGGGAUUCAAGUUACCUUGAAACCGGAAGCAACUCGAGAGCAGAGCUUGACUCAGGAAGCCCAUGUUGAGUCUGUGCUCCUUACCGCUCCUGACGACCAGUAAGAUGGAGGCGGGAAGGGCCUGGGGACUCCCUCACCCCUCGCCCUCCAGAUCGAGGAAGGGCCGCGAAAGAUGGGGGACUGAACCCUGAACCAGCGAGCUAAAUUAGCUCCCCCUGCCAUCACUGGAAAAGGUCAGGAAGAUCCUCCGUGUGCACAGAGCUUAAAUAAGACAUUCCCUGAAUUGUUUUCCAGGAACUUGGAGUCCCAGCCGCAUCUGGUUUAGGCUGAGUCAGUUGAGACAGGAUAGGACCACCGACCCCUCACCUGGGCCUUGGAGUGGCCUCUGGUUACCGGGAACCUGGGGGUCCUGCGCAGAAGGGUGGUCCCCGCCCCUCGCCGAUCAUGUGAGCCUGGUGGUCCACUUCCCCGCCUGUGGGGCCCAGCCCCACUUCUCAUGGGCGGAUUGGGAUCUUUGCCUUCCAGGCUCCUUGCUUGGCUGCCUUGCAAGUAAGCUCCUGUGCUGCAGACUUUGGUGUCUCGGUGUUUUGGCUGCUGUGUGCUGGGCUUCAGUGAGGGGUCACUCACCUGUCACCCUAGGAGGGCAUCCGGACGCUGCAGCCUCAGGAAGCCACUGACAGGAAACCUGGUCCAGCCCAUCUCAGCACCCCGAGAUGCUGCACCUUCCCAGUCAGUCCUGAACAGUCUCUUUCAGAUGUUUCAACCCCAAGGCCACCCUGGCAUGCACCACCUUCCUCCAGGGUUGAGGAGGAAGGUGGAGAGGCCCAUGGCCCAGGAUUGUAUGGGUGUUGGUGCCCAGGACAUUGUUGGGGUGGGGGUGUGGUGGGGGAUGCGUGUGCAGUAAACUGGCCCAGCCACGUAUAAAGGGAGAGAAGCAGCCAGUGCAGUCCCCACACCGACUUCAUGAGGCUCCUGGGGCAGUGGAGGGACGAUGUCCCCAGGCCUGGGUGCGGGGGCAGAGGCAUGGCACUGACCUGGGUGGUUCACCCCCAUCCUCCCCAGGGGGCCACAGGGCUGUCCCCCUGCCCCUCUGGAAGACAGUCAGGCAAGUGUAGGCGUCAGCGACACUGCUCAGAGCCCUGUUUCCCAGACCUCAGGCUGGAGGUGUUGAAGGGCAAGAGCCAAGGUGUGGGAAACAGCAGCAUGUGAAGGGCAGUCCGGUGCUGUAGCAUGGGGAGGGGGCCUUGGUGUGUCGGCGCUCAUGCUGGGUCAUCACAGUGGGUAGAUGCUGCUCACGCAGGCGGUCUUCUGCACUGUGCAGAUGCUGUAUUUCUUUGUUGACAUAUAGUUGACCUACAAUGGGAACUUCUGCUGUACAGGAAACUGACUCAGUUAUACAUACUGGCGUUUUUCAUAUUUUCCACAAUGGUUUAUCACAGGAUAUUGACCACACUUCCCUGUGCUACACAGGACCUUGCUUCUCCAUCCUGCAUACUGGUUUGCAUCUGCUAAUCCCAACUCUCAGUCCUUCCUCUGUGAUACCACGUUCCCUACACAUCGAAAGUUCUUGGCAACGCUGCUUGAAACAAGUCUGGUGCCUGUUUUCCAACAGCCUUUGCUCAUGAUGUUUUAGUCAUUCUUAGAGUAUUCAACUCAUUAAUGCGGUCAGUGCUCUUACUAAGACUUAGGAAAGUGCACUUGAACGCUGAAGCAUUAAGCCAGGACACUGAGAAGACACAGCCUGUGAGCCAGGAAGAGUCCUCCCCAGUUGCUGAAUCUGCCAUGAGCACCUGGAUCCUGGAGGUACAGCCUGUGGUGUGGUACAACAGCUGUACCCUAUAAUAGCAGAGGUGCCCUAGUACAGCAACUCAGAGACACCCCCACCUCUGCUGUUUGUGCGCUCCGUGACUUCCCGUCAUUGACACCACCCUGCUCCUGGCUGCCAAACUCCGCAGGAGAAGUCCUCAUAUUGAGGUAGGAGCCCCCAGGUGAGCAGCUGCAGCUGGUCUCUCUGCUGACCCAGGCGGGAUACAGUUGGGAGGGAGCACCAUGUGGAUUUCCUUCAUGAGACACCCACAGAAGACCCUCAGUCUAGGGGAAGGACGAAAGGAAGGUAGAAGACACCAAUGGGAAUCCUGCUCAGGGGAGAGAUGACACGUGUCCCAAGCCCUGUCCCCAUCCCAGUAUAAAUGAUGUGUGCUUCCCCCCUCCCCCACCGGGGCUCUGCAGCUAGAGACGCUUACCUUCUCUCCUUUGCUCUGUGCCUUGCGUUCUCUUCUCAUACUCGUAGGUCAUGGUCUUGGUCCACCCACUGUGACAGCUCCUGUCUUUGGAGGUGCCUAGGGGUCUCCCAAGCUGCGCAGUCAUAACGCUGUGGGUGACGGUGGACACCUUCUUCUAGUAUCUGUCGGAAACAGGUUUUCCAGCCCUGAAGGAGCCUGCUGAGUCUUUUUCUCCUGUCCUGUUCGGGCUCCUCUCCUGCAGCUUUCUCUCCUUAUCUGGCGCAGUGAGAUGUCUUUCUGUGUUGCUAAUUCGGUGCUGUUUACCUGGGGUAGAGUUCACAGGUCCCCUGAGGUCUUAUGAGAACUUCUAAGGAAAUGGGGCGAAUGACCGUGGAGUCCUGUUGUCUGUCCCCUGUCCUCCUCUGUCCACAGGUUCCUCCUGGGGAGACCGGCAGCUUUUCAUCUCUAGGACCCCUUUUGCUUCAUGCCCUGGCAGCUUCUUCUCUCCUGUGAACAGCCUUCUGGGCUGGUCGACCCCAUGCAGCUCACAUCUUGAGUCUCCUGAUGCCCAGUCCUGGGGCUAUGCCCCAGUAUAGGAGAGAUAGCCUUUCAACAGGGGAUGACUCCCAUCUAACUUGGAAGAAACACCCUUGUAUCCUUGACUUAGAAGCUUUUAAAAUUAGAUGGGAUAGGAAAAGAAGCUUACCUUGAUCAACAUGCCCCAGAUAUUAGGUGAAAACUCAAAAGUUUCAGUCAGGCCCACAAACUCCUAGAGGUGACCUUUGGGGUAUUUAAUAAUGGAGGUCAAACCAAGGAGGAGGAGAACCAGUGUAGAAGGCAGGCCAAGGCUCAGGCUAAACAGAUGCCCUGUAACCUCAGGGCCACCCAAAGGAAAGGAGCCAGGAAGUUUCAACCACCCGUCCGGAGGUAACGCCAACAAGUGGGAAGCUUCCAGUGCAAUUCAGCUGUCCUUUGGGCUCAUAAAUGUGGAGGCCUCCCCCAGUCUGCGGACAGGUGGGGCUAUUAGGACCACCCUCAGUCCCAAAAAGUGGGAAAGGGGCUCUGUGAGGCCACUCUGGAUGACUCGGGUGGCCGGGGGUGGGGUGUUAUCAGCCAUGCUAGAUGAUUCAGGCAGCUGGGGAGGCUCUAGGGUUCCCCCGUGAGGUAUCUUCAUCAAGGAGCCCUGGGUGUGGUCCUUGAGGUGGCAGGUAAGAGGAUGGCUUUUGUUUUUUGUUUUAAAAUUUUUUUAUUUUCUACUGGAGUAUAGUUCAUUUACAAUGUUGGUAGUUUCAGGUAUACAUACAGCAAAGUGAUUCAGUUAUACAUAAUACAUCUAUUCUUUUUUAGAUUUUUUUUCCCCCAUAUGGGGGCUUUUGUUUUUAAUGGAUACAGGAGCCGCCUUUUCUAUGCUGGUAUUUCACGCUGGCUUCUUUUCACUAAAAGCUGUACAGUAACUGGUGUUGACAGCAAGCUGUGCACCUGUUGACCUUGAGCCACUUUGAACAGUGUCUGAUCUUAUGCCUUCCUGGUUGUUCCCUAGUGUCCCACCCCACUACUGGGACCUUCCAGGCUCGCUUGGAGCCAUGUUACCGUUAGGGGCCUCAGGCAGCCCCUUGUCUCCACCCUAAGAUUAAUAAAAGCAGUGGUCUGUUCCCAGCCUGAGUUUCAAUCCUCGCCUCUGUAAUGUGUUCAUUACGUUUUGUCUAGGUUUACCGCUGUAAACAGGGUGACAGUGAUGCAGGCACCCAGCUCCUUCUUAAAACCACCCUGCUAGAGGAGCGGAGGUCUGCCUGGGGUCCCUCAACAAGUCGUGGUCUUCUGCUGGAUUCUGCCUUCAAAGAAGAUAAGACCAGGUCCUUCUCCAGCAUUUCUCCUCUGGCAUCAGUAGCGCCAGAGUCUGAAACACUGGCUUUGAAUGGCCAGGGCAGGAGGUUAGAAGGUAGAGCUAGCGAGACCUGCAGACCGAGUGGACCAGCCAUGGAUGAGGAUGAUCCCAGGAGUUCUGACUUGACAGGAGGUCCUGAUGGACCUUUACAGGACGUGCACAGGAGCUGGCCACUCGGUGAUCAGAGCACUCACAGUGGUCUCAGGCUGCAGAAGGUAGAGACAUGCAAGAGGGCUGAAGUGACUGCAGGCUUGAACCUAAAGGAGGUUAGGAGUACUAACCUAGCAACAUGGUGGUUACCAGCAAAUGGUGUAUUGCAGCCGCCAAGUAGGCACAGCAGCCAAGGCCUGUCCCGCCUUGGCUCACAGCUGUGCUGAGUCAAACCACAGAGACUAUCACCAUCUCUGCUCCCCAUCCUGGAAGCCUUACUGAAUGUGUCACACAUGAUUCAGCUGUUCAGCUCCCUGGGGUGGUUUGGAUCUCGCCACCUCCCUCUCCACAGGGGACAGGAGGGAGGAAGACUGAACUCCAGCAAAGGGCUGUGACAGGCCCACAGAGGAAGCCCACCUAUCCUUCCGUUUGAAGCCUGGUGUCCCAUUUUGUGAUAUUUUCCCAAGGUUGCUCAUUGGAAUCUGGGCCACUGCCUGGGACUGGUCUAUGAGAGAACCACUGGCCUCAAACUCACCUUAGAGCAAUGUCCAGCAGGAAGGAAAUGCCCUGCCAGGGCGAGGAGGCAUCAGAAGCAGAUGGCUGUCCCAAGGCUGGACCUGACUGAAUGGAUGGAAGAGGUACUUCAGGAUCCUCUGGGGGUCAAGGCCACUGUGUGCUGUGUGCUGACAGUCUCAGGAACUAGAGAUUGUCAGAAUGUUUGUAUCUCAGAGACCCAGGGAGAGAAAAGCAAGCUCCUCUUAGAAAGUGAGAAUAAAAUACUGCUUGUGACAAAGGAUGUCACAGUCCCCGUGACGGCAGCCACCUCCAAGGGUGAGCCAGUGAGCCCUCAGGGCACUCAGGAAGGAAACAGAGAACACUGCCAUCUAGCAGCCAUCAGGCUGCAGCCACUCCUGAAGUUGACAGUUAUGGCGAUCACCAAGGGACCAGAACAGACCUCUCUCCUUUGCCGGAACUCUACGAGGCUCCAGAGCCCUGAUACUAACAGAGGCCCCUUGUGCUCAUCUGUCUGGAUGAAUUGGGGGCCGUACUCAUGGCAUGUGGAGGUUCCCAGGUCUGGUGCUGCCCUGAAGACUGACCUGGAAGAUCUGGGAGAGGCCAACAGGAGGGAGGAGACCACCAACCUCCUAGCAUCCUUGGUGCUGGAAUCCAUCUUGCUUGAGAGGUGCCUGUGCCACCAGGAAGGACCCUGAACCAGAGCAAGUCCAGGCUGAGUGAGAUGACUAGCCAGAGACACCCUGGAAACUCACCCCAUUCCCAUAAGAUGUGAGCCUCAUGUGUGUCUCUUCAGACAACUCAUUUCCAAGGAUUAGACAAGAGCCCACGCUCAGGCCCUGGAAGGGGUUCCACUUCCUGCAACAACUGGCAACUCUGGUGGGACAUCCCUUCUUUGCCAUGACUGACAUCUGGGUACUCAGGAACGAGCAGACCCAGCGGCUGCCACCAAGCCCUUUUGUCCCUGGUCUCCUGACUCUGACGACUGGCCAGUGUGCCCUCACCAGAUAUUGUACUUUAAGGCUGUUGCAAAAUGGCUUCAUCUUCAGGGAGAUUCACAGGAAGAUUAUGGAAACUGUCACAACAGUUGCACAUCAAGAUGCUGGUGUACGAGGAUUCUAGCCCAUACUGACCUAAAACAAGGGCUGGGCCUAUAGACGAGGUAUCCAGAGGCUUUUACUCCCUGAUAGGCAGGGUCAGUGCCCCUGCUCAGCCUUGAAGCAGUUACAGAAGAUGGAUCGUCACCCCUCUGCUUCCCAUAAGAAUAAAGGAGUGAAAUCUAUGAGGGGGGAAUGAAAUGGGCAGGGCGCAAACUUUAAAAAGAAUGACGUAGACUUUGAGGAUAUGACAGAGACUGUUAGAACCAACUGGGUCCAAGAUGGUGGGUGAUUUGCCUUCUAGUAGACCUCGAGUUUCUAUAUGCUCACUGCAGUGCAUUAGCAGGCUAAAUGGCGCACCACAAGAGCACUGAGGAUGAAUGUUAACAUUAAUUUUUAGAAUGUCUGUUAAGUGGAUAGGUAAUGUAAGAUGGGUAUGUCCUGGUAUUGUUACAUUUUAUCUUAAAAUGUAUGUCAUAGCAACUUAGUUAAGCUGCUUUGUCAAAAGCAUUGUAAUCAAGGAAGCAGGAUCAAGAUGGCGGAGGCGUAAGAUCACACAGAACGUGUAAUGAACACUGGCAGAAGACCUCAGACCUCCAAAAAGGACAAGAAACUGUCCAUGUAACUGGGUAGGGAAAAAAAAGGAUUCAGGAUGGGACCAGCACUCCUGAGAGGUAGCUGUGAAAAGGGGAAAGGAACCCACACCCUGGGAAGCCACCUAACUGACGGGGCGAUCAGCUGGACGGAGGGGGAACCUCAACGUCUCAGAAAAGCACAGCAGCUG